RNAcentral lists this long non-coding RNA (321 nucleotides) under Nicotiana benthamiana. RNAcentral describes it as "long non-coding RNA (NBEN_LNC015497)". Lineage: Eukaryota; Viridiplantae; Streptophyta; Magnoliopsida; Solanales; Solanaceae. The record is from RNAcentral.
CAACUUAUCACACUGCAUUCUGAGGUGGACCCUGGGAUCACAUGUACCAUCGAACAUUUCCAACUUGGGAGGUUUGUACCCCUCUGGAAGCUCAACAUCUGGCUGAACACAAAGAUCUUCAUAAUUCAAGCACCCAACGCCUUUGCUACCUUCGACUCCUUGGACCCGACUAGUUAACUUCUUUUGAGUUCAACGGCCAAAUUCUGAAUGAGGGAGUCCUUGUCAUCUGAUUUGGGUGCACCCGAGAUUGGAUGGGUAUAGUGGGGUAUAGUGUCCACAAAGAUAGGAGUAUUAAGGUGUUUGUUGUGUUUUGUGGUUCAG